Papio anubis (olive baboon) is the source of this 117-nucleotide unclassified non-coding RNA. It matches the Rfam family "Metazoan signal recognition particle RNA". From Rfam's summary of the family: The signal recognition particle (SRP) is a universally conserved ribonucleoprotein. It is involved in the co-translational targeting of proteins to membranes. The record is from Ensembl. NCBI's taxonomy places the organism in Eukaryota, Metazoa, Chordata, Mammalia, Primates, Cercopithecidae.
GCUGGGCAUGGUGGCUCAUGCCUGUAAUCCCAGCACUUUGGGAGGCUGAGGUGAGUGGAUCACCUGAGGUCAGGAGUUCGAGACCAGCCUGGCCAACAUGGUGAAACCCCAUCUCUA